GAUGAACGCUAGCGGCAGGCCUAAUACAUGCAAGUCGAACGGUAACAUGAGUAGCAAUACUUGAUGACGAGUGGCGCACGGGUGCGUAACGCGUAUGCAAUCUACCUUUAACUGGUGAAUAGCCCGAAGACAUUCGGAUUAAUACACCAUAGUAUAUUUGAAUGGCAUCCUUUAAAUAUUAAAACUCCGGAGGUUAAAGAUGAGCAUGCGUGACAUUAGCUAGUUGGUGAGGUAAUGGCUCACCAAGGCUACGAUGUCUAGGGGAUCUGAGAGGAUUAACCCCCACACUGGUACUGAGACACGGACCAGACUCCUACGGGAGGCAGCAGUAAGGAAUAUUGGACAAUGGUCGAAAGACUGAUCCAGCCAUGCCGCGUGAAGGAUGACGGCCCUAUGGGUUGUAAACUUCUUUUGUAUGGGAAAAAACCCUUCUACGUGUAGAAGGCUGAUGGUACCAUAAGAAUAAGGAUCGGCUAACUCCGUGCCAGCAGCCGCCGUAA
RNAcentral lists this ribosomal RNA (500 nucleotides) under uncultured bacterium. RNAcentral describes it as "partial 16S ribosomal RNA". It matches the Rfam family "Bacterial small subunit ribosomal RNA", at positions 28 to 523 of the family's 1533-position model. The record is from RNAcentral.